This 468-nucleotide ribosomal RNA is filed under the name uncultured bacterium. RNAcentral describes it as "partial 16S ribosomal RNA". It matches the Rfam family "Bacterial small subunit ribosomal RNA", at positions 28 to 507 of the family's 1533-position model. The record is from RNAcentral.
GACGAACGCUGGCGGCGUGCUUAACACAUGCAAGUCGAACGGAAAGGCCCUGCUUUUGUGGGGUGCUCGAUUGGCGAACGGGUGAGUAACACGUGAGUAACCUGCCCUUGACUUUGGGAUAACUUCAGGAAACUGGGGCUAAUACCGGAUAGGAGCUCCUGCUGCAUGGUGGGGGUUGGAAAGUUUCGGCGGUUGGGGAUGGACUCGCGGCUUAUCAGCUUGUUGGUGGGGUAGUGGCUUACCAAGCCUUUGACGGGUAGCCGGCCUGAGAGGGUGACCGGGCACAUUGGGACUGAGAUACGGCCCAGACUCCUACGGGAGGCAGCAGUGGGGAAUAUUGCACAAUGGGCGGAAGCCUGAUGCAGCAACGCCGCGUGCGGGAUGACGGCCUUCGGGUUGUAAACCGCUUUCGCCUGUGACGAAGCGUGAGUGACGGUAAUGGGUAAAGAAGCACCGGCUAACUACGUG